This 309-nucleotide unclassified non-coding RNA is filed under the name uncultured fungus. RNAcentral's name for it is "sequence contains ITS2". The stretch from base 1 to 52 matches the Rfam family "5.8S ribosomal RNA", at positions 103 to 154 of the family's 154-position model. The record is from RNAcentral. Lineage: Eukaryota; Fungi.
AACGCAUCUUGCGCUCCCUGGUAUUCCGGGGAGCAUGCCUGUUUGAGUGUCAUGGACUCUUCAACCCCCCUGUUCCUUGUUUGAACGGGGACGGCUUGGAUCCUGAGCUCCUGCUGGCCGAAAGGUCGAGCUGGCUCGUAAUGCAUUAGCAACUCAAUUUCGAACAUUCGGAUUGACUCGGCGUAAUAGACUAUUCGCGCUGAGGACACUAGCAAUGGUGGCCGAAUUUCGAGGUAGUAGCUUCCAACCCUUGGAAAGUCAACCCCAAGAUUAGACCUCAGAUCAGGUAGGAUUACCCGCUGAACUUAA